AGAGACUUAGGUUAAGCAUAGACCAAGGACCUUCAAAGCCCUAAGCGAGAGUGAAAAUCUUUCAGUCCCUG
RNAcentral lists this transfer RNA (71 nucleotides) under Synanceia verrucosa (stonefish). RNAcentral's name for it is "tRNA-Trp". It matches the Rfam family "tRNA". From Rfam's summary of the family: Transfer RNA (tRNA) molecules are approximately 80 nucleotides in length. Their secondary structure includes four short double-helical elements and three loops (D, anti-codon, and T loops). Further hydrogen bonds mediate the characteristic L-shaped molecular structure. tRNAs have two regions of fundamental functional importance: the anti-codon, which is responsible for specific mRNA codon recognition, and the 3' end, to which the tRNAs corresponding amino acid is attached (by aminoacyl-tRNA synthetases). tRNAs cope with the degeneracy of the genetic code in two manners: having more than one tRNA (with a specific anti-codon) for a particular amino acid; and 'wobble' base-pairing, i.e. permitting non-standard base-pairing at the 3rd anti-codon position. Lineage: Eukaryota; Metazoa; Chordata; Actinopteri; Perciformes; Synanceiidae. The record is from RNAcentral.